Molecule: long non-coding RNA, 446 nt
Organism: Trichomycterus rosablanca
Lineage: Eukaryota; Metazoa; Chordata; Actinopteri; Siluriformes; Trichomycteridae
Exons: 3
Source: RefSeq, a predicted model, not a curated record
AACCAGUAAUGUUAGAUUUUGAUUCCCCUACGGUUAUUUUUAGGGAACCAUCCCAUAACGUUAUGUUCGGACAUGUUUCACACACGGAGUGCAAAACGAGCUGCUGAGACUUUUGAAUCUUCUCAAGUCUUCUCACCACAAAGUUUUUUGGUUGUUGAGGACAUAGCCAAAGGGGACUGUUUUAUGGAGGAUGACUACAGUCAGUCCACCUGGAGCAAGUGUUUCUGACAAACUUUUACUUGCAUCUACUUUUAUUUUUUAGAAAGUUUUCAGAAAAAUAUUUGAAAGAUUGAUAUCAUUUAUUUUGUCCUUACACUGUGACACUUUUAUAGUUUGUUUUCCAUUUACAUUUUUUACUUUUGUGUAGCGAGUGAGACUUUAGAAAACACGCUGUUUGAAAGACAUUUUGUCCACUGAACUGUAAGUAAAAAAUGCAUUUCCAUUAA